Molecule: long non-coding RNA, 737 nt
Organism: Eptesicus fuscus (big brown bat)
Lineage: Eukaryota; Metazoa; Chordata; Mammalia; Chiroptera; Vespertilionidae
Exons: 3
Source: RefSeq, a predicted model, not a curated record
UUUUAAGACAUAUGAUUGACUCUGAUGAUUCACAAAGAAAAGAAUGGUGUGUCCAUUCACCAAAAGCAGUAGUUAAUGGAAAACAGAACAUAGCUAAAAGCUAAGAGUGGAGUCAACAGAUAAAGGGCUGAGCAACUGAUGAAAGGGACUGAGCUUUUCCUGAAGAACGAGAUUCAAAGUGUGCGGGGCAAUUUGAUGAGAGAGAGAUUCUACGUCGCUGGCUUUGAAGAGGAAAGGGACUCCUAGAAACAAAUGGGGAUGGCCUCUAAUUCCUGAGAGUGGCUUCCAACUGCCAGCCAAGAAGAAAAUGGGGAUAAUGGCCGAUAGCUGCAAGGAACGAAAUUUGGUCAACAACCUAUAGGAGCUUGGAAGAAAACCCCUAAGUUUCAGAUCAGAACACAGCUGAUACCUUGAUUUCAACCUUGUAAGGCUUUGGGCAGAGAACCCAGCUAUGCUGUGCCCCUAGUUCUGACCUGCAGAACUGUGAGCUAAUAAAUUUAUGGUUUGUGGUUUUUGUAUUUACAAACAUAAUGUAGCAUAUUUCACCCAAAACCUACAUAUCUUGACAUUUUAACAUCCCUGAAAUUAGAAUGUAUUUUUCCUUUUUUAAAAAUACAGAAAAUAAUGGUGCUCUUAUAAUUGAAGUCAUCUUUGAUUUGGUGAAAUAUUUCAAACAUACAGUAUAACAGAUACCCAGAUUUAAUAGAUUUUAAUGUUUUGUCACAUUUUCAAAAUGG